CCCGGGCCUUGUACACACCGCCCGUCACACCAUGGGAAUUGGUUCUACCCGAAGCCGGUGUGCUAACCGUAAGGAAGCAGCCGACCACGGUAGGGUCAGUGACUGGGGUG
RNAcentral lists this ribosomal RNA (110 nucleotides) under uncultured bacterium. RNAcentral describes it as "partial 16S ribosomal RNA". It matches the Rfam family "Bacterial small subunit ribosomal RNA", at positions 1373 to 1482 of the family's 1533-position model. The record is from RNAcentral.